Molecule: ribosomal RNA, 413 nt
Filed under: uncultured bacterium
Lineage: Bacteria
Description: bacterial SSU rRNA
Rfam family: Bacterial small subunit ribosomal RNA
Source: RNAcentral
GUGCCAGCCGCCGCGGUAAUACAGAGGUGGCAAGCGUUGUUCGGAAUUACUGGGCGUAAAGGGCGCGUAGGCGGCCUCUUUAGUCAGACGUGAAAUCCCCCGGCUUAACCUGGGAACUGCGUCUGAUACUGGGAGGCUUGAGUUCGGGAGAGGGAUGUAGAAUUCCAGGUGUAGCGGUGAAAUGCGUAGAUAUCUGGAGGAAUACCGGUGGCGAAGGCGGCAUCCUGGACCGAAACUGACGCUGAGGCGCGAAAGCUAGGGGAGCAAACGGGAUUAGAUACCCCGGUAGUCCUAGCCCUAAACGAUGAAUGCUUGGUGUGGCGGGUAUCGAUCCCUGCCGUGCCGAAGCUAACGCAUUAAGCAUUCCGCCUGGGGAGUACGGUCGCAAGGCUGAAACUCAAAUGAAUUGACGG